UACAGAGGGGGCAAGCGUUGUUCGGAAUUACUGGGCGUAAAGGGCGCGUAGGCGGCCCGCUAAGUCGAACGUGAAAUCCCCGGGCUUAACCCGGGAACUGCGUCCGAUACUGGUGGGCUUGAAUCCGGGAGAGGGAUGCGGAAUUCCAGGUGUAGCGGUGAAAUGCGUAGAUAUCUGGAGGAACACCUGUGGCGAAAGCGGCGCACUGGACCAUAACUGACGCUGAUGCGCGAAAGCUAGGGGAGCAAACAGG
RNAcentral lists this ribosomal RNA (253 nucleotides) under uncultured bacterium. RNAcentral describes it as "partial 16S ribosomal RNA". It matches the Rfam family "Bacterial small subunit ribosomal RNA", at positions 524 to 776 of the family's 1533-position model. The record is from RNAcentral.